RNAcentral lists this ribosomal RNA (1343 nucleotides) under uncultured bacterium. Its description in RNAcentral is "16S ribosomal RNA". It matches the Rfam family "Bacterial small subunit ribosomal RNA", at positions 28 to 1378 of the family's 1533-position model. The record is from RNAcentral.
GACGAACGCUGGCGGCGUGCUUAACACAUGCAAGUCGAACGGAAAGGCCCUGCUUUUGUGGGGUGCUCGAGUGGCGAACGGGUGAGUAACACGUGAGUAACCUGCCCUUGACUUUGGGAUAACUUCAGGAAACUGGGGCUAAUACCGGAUAGGAGCUCCUGCUGCAUGGUGGGGGUUGGAAAGUUUCGGCGGUUGGGGAUGGACUCGCGGCUUAUCAGCUUGUUGGUGGGGUAGUGGCUUACCAAGGCUUUGACGGGUAGCCGGCCUGAGAGGGUGACCGGCCACAUUGGGACUGAGAUACGGCCCAGACUCCUACGGGAGGCAGCAGUGGGGAAUAUUGCACAAUGGGCGGAAGCCUGAUGCAGCAACGCCGCGUGCGGGAUGACGGCCUUCGGGUUGUAAACCGCUUUCGCCUGUGACGAAGCGUGAGUGACGGUAAUGGGUAAAGAAGCACCGGCUAACUACGUGCCAGCAGCCGCGGUGAUACGUAGGGUGCGAGCGUUGUCCGGAUUUAUUGGGCGUAAAGGGCUCGUAGGUGGUUGAUCGCGUCGGAAGUGUAAUCUUGGGGCUUAACCCUGAGCGUGCUUUCGAUACGGGUUGACUUGAGGAAGGUAGGGGAGAAUGGAAUUCCUGGUGGAGCGGUGGAAUGCGCAGAUAUCAGGAGGAACACCAGUGGCGAAGGCGGUUCUCUGGGCCUUUCCUGGCGCUGAGGAGCGAAAGCGUGGGGAGCGAACAGGCUUAGAUACCCUGGUAGUCCACGCUGUAAACGGUGGGUACUAGGUGUGGGGUCCACUCCACGGGUUCCGUGCCGUAGCUAACGCUUUAAGUACCCCGCCUGGGGAGUACGGCCGCAAGGCUAAAACUCAAAGGAAUUGACGGGGCCCCGCACAAGCGGCGGAGCAUGCGGAUUAAUUCGAUGCAACGCGUAGAACCUUACCUGGGUUUGACAUGGAUCGGGAGUGCUCAGAGAUGGGUGUGCCUCUUUUGGGGUCGGUUCACAGGUGGUGCAUGGCUGUCGUCAGCUCGUGUCGUGAGAUGUUGGGUUAAGUCCCGCAACGAGCGCAACCCUUGUUCACUGUUGCCAGCACGUUAUGGUGGGGACUCAGUGGAGACCGCCGGGGUCAACUCGGAGGAAGGUGGGGAUGACGUCAAGUCAUCAUGCCCCUUAUGUCCAGGGCUUCACGCAUGCUACAAUGGCUGGUACAGAGAGUGGCGAGCCUGUGAGGGUGAGCGAAUCUCGGAAAGCCGGUCUCAGUUCGGAUUGGGGUCUGCAACUCGACCUCAUGAAGUCGGAGUCGCUAGUAAUCGCAGAUCAGCAACGCUGCGGUGAAUACGUUCCCGGG